This 1372-nucleotide ribosomal RNA is filed under the name uncultured bacterium. RNAcentral describes it as "bacterial SSU rRNA". It matches the Rfam family "Bacterial small subunit ribosomal RNA", at positions 28 to 1381 of the family's 1533-position model. The record is from RNAcentral.
GAUGAACGCUGGCGGCGUGCCUAAUACAUGCAAGUCGAGCGAACGGACGAGAAGCUUGCUUCUCUGAUGUUAGCGGCGGACGGGUGAGUAACACGUGGAUAACCUACCUAUAAGACUGGGAUAACUUCGGGAAACCGGAGCUAAUACCGGAUAAUAUUUUGAACCGCAUGGUUCAAAAGUAAAAGACGGUCUUGCUGUCACUUAUAGAUGGAUCCGCGCUGCAUUAGCUAGUUGGUAAGGUAACGGCUUACCAAGGCAACGAUGCAUAGCCGACCUGAGAGGGUGAUCGGCCACACUGGAACUGAGACACGGUCCAGACUCCUACGGGAGGCAGCAGUAGGGAAUCUUCCGCAAUGGGCGAAAGCCUGACGGAGCAACGCCGCGUGAGUGAUGAAGGUCUUCGGAUCGUAAAACUCUGUUAUUAGGGAAGAAUAUAUGUGUAAGUAACUGUGCACAUCUUGACGGUACCUAAUCAGAAAGCCACGGCUAACUACGUGCCAGCAGCCGCGGUAAUACGUAGGUGGCAAGCGUUAUCCGGAAUUAUUGGGCGUAAAGCGCGCGUAGGCGGUUUUUUAAGUCUGAUGUGAAAGCCCACGGCUCAACCGUGGAGGGUCAUUGGAAACUGGAAAACUUGAGUGCAGAAGAGGAAAGUGGAAUUCCAUGUGUAGCGGUGAAAUGCGCAGAGAUAUGGAGGAACACCAGUGGCGAAGGCGACUUUCUGGUCUGUAACUGACGCUGAUGUGCGAAAGCGUGGGGAUCAAACAGGAUUAGAUACCCUGGUAGUCCACGCCGUAAACGAUGAGUGCAAAGUGUUAGGGGGUUUCCGCCCCUUAGUGCUGCAGCUAACGCAUUAAGCACUCCGCCUGGGGAGUACGACCGCAAGGUUGAAACCCAAAGGAAUUGACGGGGACCCGCACAAGCGGUGGAGCAUGUGGUUUAAUUCGAAGCAACGCGAAGAACCUUACCAAAUCUUGACAUCCUUUGACAACUCUAGAGAUAGAGCCUUCCCCUUCGGGGGACAAAGUGACAGGUGGUGCAUGGUUGUCGUCAGCUCGUGUCGUGAGAUGUUGGGUUAAGUCCCGCAACGAGCGCAACCCUUAAGCUUAGUUGCCAUCAUUAAGUUGGGCACUCUAAGUUGACUGCCGGUGACAAACCGGAGGAAGGUGGGGAUGACGUCAAAUCAUCAUGCCCCUUAUGAUUUGGGCUACACACGUGCUACAAUGGACAAUACAAAGGGCAGCGAAACCGCGAGGUCAAGCAAAUCCCAUAAAGUUGUUCUCAGUUCGGAUUGUAGUCUGCAACUCGACUACAUGAAGCUGGAAUCGCUAGUAAUCGUAGAUCAGCAUGCUACGGUGAAUACGUUCCCGGGUCU